Molecule: ribosomal RNA, 393 nt
Filed under: uncultured bacterium
Lineage: Bacteria
Description: partial 16S ribosomal RNA
Rfam family: Bacterial small subunit ribosomal RNA
Source: RNAcentral
AUACGGAGGACGCGAGCGUUAUCCGGAUUCAUUGGGUUUAAAGGGUGCGCAGGCGGCCGUGCAAGUCAGCGGUGAAAGCCCGGGGCUCAACCCCGGAAGUGCCGUUGAUACUGCAUGGCUGGAAUGCGGUCGAGGCGGGCGGGACGGGGCGUGUAGUGGGGGAAAGCGUAGAUAUGCCACAGAACGCCGAUAGCGGAGGCAGCUCGCCAGGCCUGCAUUGACGCUCGGGCACGAAAGCGUGGGGAUCGAACAGGAUUAGAUACCCUGGUAGUCCACGCCGUAAACGAUGGGCGCUCGUCGUCGGCGGCAGACAGUCGGCGGCCAAGCGAAAGCGAUAAGCGCCCCACCUGGGGAGUACGGUCGCAAGGCUGAAACUCAAAUGAAUUGACGGGG